UGCAUGUGCAGGCUCAGAACAACAUCAAGAGCUCCAGACCACAGGUAAAACUGCUCAUACACAGGCCUAAAUCAGUCUUUGGGCUGACCAGAGGUGUAGCUCUUCUUCAGGAGUUAGUCUGUCAAAACCAGAUUGUUGUAACGCAAGGUUUAGAAGCCAGUCGAGAGAGUAAUGAGAACUACAGCAAACAGCAAUGUUCCAGGACAGCGCCUUUACAGAACGUUCUGCCUACCUUGACUUCCAUACCUACCAUGCCUUCCAUGAUUCCUGUGGUCAGGUUUUAAGCUAUUUGACACAGUUGUGAUGUCCCCAAGCAGAGGCAUCUUCUUCUGGACUCUGAGGUCUACCAGAGAAUCCAGGGCAGGAGAGAAACACCCACAGACCAUCGCCAGUCCAACACCUUCCACCUGAUACAGGAGGUGCUGGAGGAAGACUGUAGAAAUGCGCCCCUGCAUACCCAAGAAAAUCCUUAGGCACGGCCGCCCAGCAACCCCUCCUGUUGAGAGUGCAGAUGUCCCGCACAUGUCAAAGCUGUGGAACUCUCAAUGUGUAAUAAUAUGAUUCUGCUAUUGGUCUCCAGUAAAAUAUUUACUUUCUUCUCAGGGUGUGCCAUGAUAUAGUCGGCAAUUAUUGUGUCACA
Salmo salar (Atlantic salmon) is the source of this 640-nucleotide non-coding RNA. NCBI's taxonomy places the organism in Eukaryota, Metazoa, Chordata, Actinopteri, Salmoniformes, Salmonidae. The record is from RefSeq and is a predicted model, not a curated record.